RNAcentral lists this ribosomal RNA (468 nucleotides) under uncultured bacterium. RNAcentral's name for it is "partial 16S ribosomal RNA". It matches the Rfam family "Bacterial small subunit ribosomal RNA", at positions 28 to 507 of the family's 1533-position model. The record is from RNAcentral.
GACGAACGCUGGCGGCGUGCUUAACACAUGCAAGUCGAACGGAAAGGCGCUGCGCUUGUUGGUUGCUCGAUUGGCGAACGCGUGAGUGACACACGUGUAUCCUGCCCCUGUCUGUGUGAGAACUUCAGGAGACUGCGGCGAAUAUCCCAGAGGAUCUCCUGCAGCACGUGGGUGGAUGGUAAGUGUCGGCGGUGGUGGAUGGUCUCGCGGCUUAUCAGCUUGAUGGGGUGGUAGUGGCGUACCAAGGUUUUGAAGGGUAGCCGGCAUGAGAGGGUGACCGGGCACAUUGGGACUGCGAUACGGACCAGAAUGCUACGGGAGGCAGCAGUGGGGAAUAUUGCACAAUGGGCCGAAGCCUGAUGCAGCAACGCCGCGUGCGGGAUGACGGCCUUCGGGUUGUAAACCGAUUUCGACUGUGACGAAGCGUGAGUGACGGUAAUGGGUAAAGAAGCACCGGCUAACUACGUG